Molecule: non-coding RNA, 321 nt
Filed under: Trichobilharzia regenti
Lineage: Eukaryota; Metazoa; Platyhelminthes; Trematoda; Strigeidida; Schistosomatidae
Description: Eukaryotic small subunit ribosomal RNA
Rfam family: Eukaryotic small subunit ribosomal RNA
Source: Rfam by way of RNAcentral
GUCUAAGUACAUACCUUAAAACAGUGAAACCGCGAAUGGCUCAUUACAUAAGCUUUGGUUCCUUAGAUGAUAUAUACUGCAUGGAUAACUGUAGUAAUUCUAGUGCUAAUACAUGCAAUUAUGCCCUGACUCACAAGGAAACGGGUGCAUUUAUUAUAACAGAACCAACCAUCACUGGUCACGACUUCUCACUAGAACUCCGGGCAACUUCGUCCUGCAGACAGUCACUAGGAUGAGCAUCAGACUAACUUUCAAGAGUUAGUUUGUGGGGAUUUGAUUUAUUUCAAGUUCAAUCAUGUAUUGAUAUAAAUCAGUUCAGAG